GACGAACGCUGGCGGCGUGCUUAACACAUGCAAGUCGAACGAUGACGACCGAGCUUGCUCGGUCUGAUUAGUGGCGAACGGGUGAGUAACACGUGAGCAACCUGCCCUUCACUCUGGGAUAACCUCGGGAAAUCGGGGCUAAUACCGGAUAUGAGCUCCUGUCGCAUGGCGGGUGUUGGAAAGUUUUUCGGUGAAGGAUGGGCUCGCGGCCUAUCAGUUUGUUGGUGAGGUAGUGGCUCACCAAGGCGAUGACGGGUAGCCGGCCUGAGAGGGCGACCGGCCACACUGGGACUGAGACACGGCCCAGACUCCUACGGGAGGCAGCAGUGGGGAAUAUUACACAAUGGGCGAAAGCCUGAUGCAGCGACGCCGCGUGGGGGAUGACGGCCUUCGGGUUGUAAACCUCUUUCAGCAGGGAAGAAGCGAAAGUGACGGUACCUGCAGAAGAAGCGCCGGCUAACUACGUG
This 467-nucleotide ribosomal RNA is filed under the name uncultured bacterium. RNAcentral's name for it is "partial 16S ribosomal RNA". It matches the Rfam family "Bacterial small subunit ribosomal RNA", at positions 28 to 507 of the family's 1533-position model. The record is from RNAcentral.